GCCAGGCACAGUGGUAUGUGCCUGUAAUCCCAGCAGCUUGGGAGGCUGAGGCAGGAGGAUCUCAAGUUCAAAGCCAGCUUUAGCACCUUAGUGAGGCCCUAAGCAACUUAAAGAGACCCUGUCUCAA
Molecule: small RNA, 127 nt
Filed under: Marmota monax (woodchuck)
Lineage: Eukaryota; Metazoa; Chordata; Mammalia; Rodentia; Sciuridae
Source: RNAcentral